ACGAACGCUGGCGGCGUGCUUAACACAUGCAAGUCGAACGGAAAGGCCCUGCUUUUGUGGGGUGCUCGAGUGGCGAACGGGUGAGUAACACGUGAGUAACCUGCCCUUGACUUUGGGAUAACUUCAGGAAACUGGGGCUAAUACCGGAUAGGAGCUCCUGCUGCAUGGUGGGGGUUGGAAAGUUUCGGCGGUUGGGGAUAGACUCGCGGCUUAUCAGCUUGUUGGUGGGGUAGUGGCUUACCAAGGCUUUGACGGGUAGCCGGCCUGAGAGGGUGACCGGCAACAUUGGGACUGAGAUACGGCCCAGACUCAUACGGGAGGCAGCAGUGGGGAAUAUUGCAAAAUGGGCGGAAGCCUGAUGCAGCAACGCCGCGUGCGGGAUGACGGCCAUCGGGUUGUAAACCGCUUUCGCCUGUGACGAAGCGUGAGUGACGGUAAUGGGUAAAGAAGCACCGGCUAACUACGUG
This 467-nucleotide ribosomal RNA is filed under the name uncultured bacterium. RNAcentral's name for it is "partial 16S ribosomal RNA". It matches the Rfam family "Bacterial small subunit ribosomal RNA", at positions 29 to 507 of the family's 1533-position model. The record is from RNAcentral.